Molecule: non-coding RNA, 30 nt
Filed under: Rattus norvegicus (Norway rat)
Lineage: Eukaryota; Metazoa; Chordata; Mammalia; Rodentia; Muridae
Source: RNAcentral
UUGCCUUUGUCCUUGGUGUAUGAUGAUGGU